UCCCUGAUAGCUCAACUGGUAAAGAAUCUGCUUGCAAAGGAGGAGACCCAGGUUCAAUCCCUGGGUUGGGAA
Molecule: transfer RNA, 72 nt
Filed under: Bos taurus (domestic cattle)
Lineage: Eukaryota; Metazoa; Chordata; Mammalia; Artiodactyla; Bovidae
Also listed under: 1 other name
Rfam family: tRNA
About the family: Transfer RNA (tRNA) molecules are approximately 80 nucleotides in length. Their secondary structure includes four short double-helical elements and three loops (D, anti-codon, and T loops). Further hydrogen bonds mediate the characteristic L-shaped molecular structure. tRNAs have two regions of fundamental functional importance: the anti-codon, which is responsible for specific mRNA codon recognition, and the 3' end, to which the tRNAs corresponding amino acid is attached (by aminoacyl-tRNA synthetases). tRNAs cope with the degeneracy of the genetic code in two manners: having more than one tRNA (with a specific anti-codon) for a particular amino acid; and 'wobble' base-pairing, i.e. permitting non-standard base-pairing at the 3rd anti-codon position.
Source: Rfam by way of RNAcentral